GAUGAACGCUGGCGGCGUGCUUAACACAUGCAAGUCGAACGGAAAGGCUCCUGCUUGCAGGGGUACUCGAGUGGCGAACGGGUGAGUAACACGUGGGUGAUCUGCCCUGCACUUCGGGAUAAGCCUGGGAAACUGGGUCUAAUACCGGAUAGGACGAUGGUUUGGAUGCCAUUGUGGAAAGUUUUUCGGUGUGGGAUGAGCUCGCGGCCUAUCAGCUUGUUGGUGGGGUAAUGGCCUACCAAGGCGUCGACGGGUAGCCGGCCUGAGAGGGUGUACGGCCACAUUGGGACUGAGAGACGGCCCAGACGCCUACGGGAGGCAGCAGUGGGGAAUAUUGCACAAUGAGCGCGAGCCUGAUGCAGCGACGCCGCGUGGGGGAUGACGGCCUUCGGGUUGUAAACUCCUUUCGCUAGGGACGAAGCGCAAGUGACGGUACCUGGAGAAGAAGCACCGGCUAACUACGUG
RNAcentral lists this ribosomal RNA (465 nucleotides) under uncultured bacterium. RNAcentral's name for it is "partial 16S ribosomal RNA". It matches the Rfam family "Bacterial small subunit ribosomal RNA", at positions 28 to 507 of the family's 1533-position model. The record is from RNAcentral.